Molecule: long non-coding RNA, 830 nt
Filed under: Anas platyrhynchos platyrhynchos (common mallard)
Lineage: Eukaryota; Metazoa; Chordata; Aves; Anseriformes; Anatidae
Description: lncRNA (ENSAPLG00000022718.1)
Source: RNAcentral
AAAACCACCCUGGGGUGUCUGGCAGGCGGGUGUUUUGUGACUAGCACCCACAGGACGCACGCUGAAUGAAGGGGUGUUCAGGAGGCCUGGCUGUGCUGCCAAACAGCCCUUUAAGAGCAGAGGCUCCACCAGGAGGCUGGGCCUUGUGCACCAGCACUCUGGGAGUUGGGAGGUUUCAACCAGGGGCAGGUCUUGCAACCUUCUGACUGUCAGUAUGAAAACCUGAGGCGCCCCAGGCACAGGGAGGUGCUGGCACCAUGGCCAUUUCCACAGCCUCUCAGUGAGGGAGAUGCCAGCACUGUGCUUCUCUGGUUUUGCCUUCCUGUGAGGAAACCAGGCCCCUUCUGUGCUUCUGCUCCUUCAGGGCAGCCUCUGCUGACAGCGAAAUCCUUGUGGGGCCCCUCAUCACAUAUUUCAUGGUGGCCCAUGUGAACAUAAGAGUGUUGAAACAGCUUUCCAGUGAUGUCAUACAAUGACACUUUCCUGAGUGUUUCCUAAUGUCUAGAGAGAGACGAGCAGAAGGAAUGGGGGAAGAAAAAGUCCAGGGAUCCUUGGCCCAAACUGACAACCUUCAUUCAAAGCCACUAUCUGAAGGGAAGAGAGACGAAUCUAAAGAAUCUCUGUCAAAUGUGUUCAGAAAUGAUGCAGCUGAUCAGCAGUUUAACCUUGAAGCUGCAAUUAAAAAUGUUGGCAAAAUGUCUGAUGAGCUAAAGAAACUAAAUGUGGAAAGCCAGCUGCUGCUUUGUGACCUUAUUUUGAAUUUCAACCAUCCCCUGAAGGCCAAAGAUUUAAGAGAAGCUGAAGAAAAAACUCGGAGUUUGACAGAUUAA